This 207-nucleotide ribosomal RNA is filed under the name uncultured bacterium. RNAcentral's name for it is "partial 16S ribosomal RNA". It matches the Rfam family "Bacterial small subunit ribosomal RNA", at positions 568 to 774 of the family's 1533-position model. The record is from RNAcentral.
CGCGCAGGCGGCUGUUCAAGUCCGAUGUGAAAUCUUCCGGCUUAACUGGAAAACGGCAUCGGAUACUGGACGGCUGGAAGGUGGGAGAGGGUAGCGGAAUUCCCGGUGUAGUGGUGAAAUGCGUAGAUAUCGGGAGGAACACCAGUGGCGAAAGCGGCUACCUGGCCCACUCUUGACGCUGAGGCGCGAAAGCUAGGGGAGCAAACG